RNAcentral lists this ribosomal RNA (497 nucleotides) under uncultured bacterium. RNAcentral describes it as "partial 16S ribosomal RNA". It matches the Rfam family "Bacterial small subunit ribosomal RNA", at positions 28 to 507 of the family's 1533-position model. The record is from RNAcentral.
GAUGAACGCUGGCGGCGUGCCUAAUACAUGCAAGUCGAGCGAACAGACGAGGAGCUUGCUCCUCUGACGUUAGCGGCGGACGGGUGAGUAACACGUGGAUAACCUACCUAUAAGACUGGGAUAACUUCGGGAAACCGGAGCUAAUACCGGAUAAUAUAUUGAACCGCAUGGUUCAAUAGUGAAAGACGGUUUUGCUGUCACUUAUAGAUGGAUCCGCGCCGCAUUAGCUAGUUGGUAAGGUAACGGCUUACCAAGGCAACGAUGCGUAGCCGACCUGAGAGGGGGGUGGGGCAGCAGGGAAGUGGGCAACGGGCAGGACGCCUGCGGGAGGCAGCAGUGGGGAAUCGUCGGAGAAGGGCGAAAGCCUGAAGGAGCAAGGCCGCGGGAAAGAUGAAGGUCUUCGGAUAGUAAAACUCUCUUAGUAGUGAAGAACAAAGGAGUCAGGAACUAUGCACGGCUUGACGGUACCUAAUCAGAAAGCCAAGGCUACCUACGUG